RNAcentral lists this ribosomal RNA (481 nucleotides) under Acidobacteriota bacterium. RNAcentral's name for it is "bacterial SSU rRNA". It matches the Rfam family "Bacterial small subunit ribosomal RNA", at positions 416 to 900 of the family's 1533-position model. The record is from RNAcentral. Lineage: Bacteria; Pseudomonadati; Acidobacteriota.
AUUCGGAGUGUCAACCCCUUUCGACCGGGACGAAUACCUCGCAAGAGGGGUGACGGUACCGGUAUAAGAAGCCCCGGCUAACUACGUGCCAGCAGCCGCGGUAAGACGUAGGGGGCCAGCGUUGCUCGGAAUUACUGGGUGUAAAGGGUUCGUAGGCGGUGUGGCAAGUGGGGAGUGAAAUCUCUGGGCUCAACCCAGGGGCUGCUUCCGAAACUGCCGUGCUAGAGUGUGGGAGAGGCGCGUGGAAUGGCAGGUGUGAGCGGUGAAAUGCGUAGAUAUCUGCAGGAACACCCGUGGCGAAAGCGGCGCGCUGGACCACUACUGACGCUGAGGAAUGAAAGCUAGGGGAGCAAACAGGAUUAGAUACCCUGGUAGUCCUAGCCCUAAACGAUCAGGACUUGGGGUGCCACCCGUUCGGGUGUCGUCCCGGAGCUAACGCGUUAAGUCCUGCACCUGGGGAGUAGGGUCGCAAGACUGAAAC